GUUUGUUUUGUGAAACGUAUCUAUGAAUUUCUCAAAGCUUUUCAGCAGAGAGAAAAUAUAUAUAUAAUUCUUUUUAUGAGUGCUUUAGUGACAUUUUUCUUAUUAAUUUUCCAUUUGCUCCCUCAACGACAUGGAAGAUAGUAAACAUACGGAGUUCGAUAAGUUUUUAAUGUGUUAAGACGUGAAUCGAACCAACAAUUUAUUGUUUUAUAAACAUAAAGAGUGAAAUUCAAAACAUAGUUUCAUCCCAAAAUAGGAGGGAAACAGUACGGAAUUCUUAUAGAAGUGAAAGAUAUUACAAUUUCAACCUUGUUUGAUUCGCUGAUAAUAGAGGUCCUUGCGAAAAUUAUAUGGAAAAAACAACGAAGACCAUUUGUAUGGUAAAAACUAAAUAUACAUACGUGUAGAGUAAAAAAUGCAAUAAGAAAAGGAACACAACACACAGCAGAACCAUUGCAAUGUUCAGUAAAAAGCAUAAGACCAUAGGAAAAACAAAUCUGCAAAAGAAAAGAAAUCGAAAUGAUUACAUGAUGGUGAUGACGACGACGCCAACGAUUAUGACGAUAUGUGAAGAUCCAGGGCAGGCAGCCUGCUAGCA
Molecule: long non-coding RNA, 598 nt
Organism: Hermetia illucens (black soldier fly)
Lineage: Eukaryota; Metazoa; Arthropoda; Insecta; Diptera; Stratiomyidae
Exons: 3
Source: RefSeq, a predicted model, not a curated record